GGUCUUCUAGAUGGAUCUGCCAUUUCUUGAUCCAUUCUCUUCCACACUCUCGUACAGCUAGCAUCCUCUCACAUCUACCUAACCUUAUCUCUCUAUCUGUUCAGACAAAAAACCCCAUCUCCGACAGUAGAACUCGUCAUCUGCCAUUACAGUGUUGAUAUCUUCUUUAAUUCGUAGAAGAUCUCAACCCCUAAACCGAUUGCAGUAAGAUCCGAUUAGGGUUCAUUUGUGAAAACCACACUGAGAUCGGUUUAGUUGUUGUUCGAGGAUCUCAACUAUUAAUCUCCGAUCUUGGUUUUUAGAAUCGGAUCGGCAUUUUUAAGGUUCUAACGUCAAGCUUCGUAUCUCAAUCUUCAAUUACUAUCCUAUUCGACUACAUCAGAUGUAAGAUCAAGCAGAUCAGAAAAUGGGUCCGUACGGUGUUCAUGACUUAGAUGCAGAUUAAAGGACUGAAAUGCAAGAUAAGUUUAACAGUACAAAUUUGUUUGUCUAAAUUCUUAUCUUAGAAUAUUUAACAUAUUCUAGAUCUUUAAUUUGUUUUUGUAUUAUUGUCUAUAUACCUAACAUCAGACAUUAUUGGCUUCUGAGUAUUCCUAGGAUAUUAUACACUAACCAAAUGAUACCUAAUUUAAUUGCAGAGGUGUAGUUGUUAGAUCUAUAUCUACACAUUCAAAGGUGGGAAGGUAAGGAGGCAUCAACAGAGUUCAAUAGGUGUAAAUUUGUGCAAUGAACAAAAAAUUCUUAGGUUAUCCUCAUAAAUUCAUCAUUUUAGUUGUGGUUUUGGAAUAGAUAUUGUGACUAACAUUUUUUCUAAGCUUUGGCAAAUGAUGAAGUUACAGUUCUGAUGCCCUAACUGUAAACAGCAACUUAGUGGAUUGCAGAGAAUUAAUUUUACAUGUCUAUUUCCCUUUUUGGUUGAUAAGCCUUAAUUAUUAUUCAUAUAAA
Ipomoea nil (Japanese morning glory) is the source of this 945-nucleotide long non-coding RNA. RefSeq lists it as uncharacterized. Lineage: Eukaryota; Viridiplantae; Streptophyta; Magnoliopsida; Solanales; Convolvulaceae. The transcript is spliced from 3 exons. The record is from RefSeq and is a predicted model, not a curated record.